UGGGGAAUAUUGGACAAUGGGCGCAAGCCUGAUCCAGCCAUGCCGCGUGUGUGAUGAAGGCCCUAGGGUUGUAAAGCACUUUCAACGGUGAAGAUAAUGACGGUAACCGUAGAAGAAGCCCCGGCUAACUUCGUGCCAGCAGCCGCGGUAAUACGAAGGGGGCUAGCGUUGUUCGGAAUAACUGGGCGUAAAGCGCACGUAGGCGGAUUGGAAAGUUAGGGGUGAAAUCCCAGGGCUCAACCCUGGAACUGCCUUUAAAACUAUCAGUCUAGAGUUCGAGAGAGGUGAGUGGAAUUCCGAGUGUAGAGGUGAAAUUCGUAGAUAUUCGGAGGAACACCAGUGGCGAAGGCGGCUCACUGGCUCGAUACUGACGCUGAGGUGCGAAAGUGUGGGGAGCAAACAGGAUUAGAUACCCCCGUAGUCC
Molecule: ribosomal RNA, 424 nt
Filed under: uncultured prokaryote
Description: bacterial SSU rRNA
Rfam family: Bacterial small subunit ribosomal RNA
Source: RNAcentral